GACGUAGGUGGCGAACGUUAUCCGGAAUUAUUGGGCGUAAAGGGUGCGUAGCUGGCCUGAUAAGUUAACAGUGGUAAAUCGAGGCUCAACCUCGUGGAAACUGAUAAUACUGUCUGGCUCGAGUACAGAAGAGGUUAACGGAAUUCCAUGUGGAGCGGUAAAAUGCAUAGAUAUAUGGAAGAACACCAAUAACGGCGAAGGCAGUUAACUAUUCUGUUACUGACAUUGAGGCACGAAAGCGUGGGGAGCGAACAGG
RNAcentral lists this ribosomal RNA (256 nucleotides) under uncultured bacterium. Its description in RNAcentral is "partial 16S ribosomal RNA". It matches the Rfam family "Bacterial small subunit ribosomal RNA", at positions 524 to 776 of the family's 1533-position model. The record is from RNAcentral.